CGAACGCUGGCGGCGUGCCUAAUACAUGCAAGUCGAACGGUCUUUCUAUGGAAGCUUGCUCCACUGAAAAGAUAGUGGCGAACGGGUGAGUAACACGUGGGUAACCUGCCCAUAAGAGGGGGGAUAACAUCCGGAAACGGGUGCUAAUACCGCAUAGUUUUCUUGAUCGCAUGAUCGGGAAAGGAAAGACGGCCUUUGUGCUGUCGCUUAUGGAUGGACCCGCGGCGUAUUAGUUAGUUGGUGAGGUAACGGCUCACCAAGACGAUGAUACGUAGCCGACCUGAGAGGGUGAUCGGCCACAUUGGGACUGAGACACGGCCCAAACUCCUACGGGAGGCAGCAGUAGGGAAUCUUCCGCAAUGGACGAAAGUCUGACGGAGCAACGCCGCGUGAGUGAAAGAAGGUUUUCGGAUCGUAAAACUCUGUUGUCAGAGAAGAACAAGUUGGAGAGUAACUGCUCCAGCCUUGACGGUAUCUGACCAGAAAGCCACGGCUAACUACGUGCCAGCCGCCGC
RNAcentral lists this ribosomal RNA (515 nucleotides) under uncultured bacterium. Its description in RNAcentral is "bacterial SSU rRNA". It matches the Rfam family "Bacterial small subunit ribosomal RNA", at positions 30 to 518 of the family's 1533-position model. The record is from RNAcentral.